GUGAAUCAUCGAAUCUUUGAACGCAAAUUGCACUCCUGUCGGUGAGUAUGACUGUUUGAGGGUCAGCCUCAAAAAAAUCGACAUAGUUGCUGUUUCGCGGUCACAUUCGUCGGAAAUUGGGUCAUCUUAAACUUUUGGGGUUAAGCGGCUUAAAAUUUUCUUUAAGAUUCCAAGAUCGUCUCUACGAUUUUAUUUUCUUAUACUUUUAUGGUAUCGGUCUUUAUUAGAC
This 229-nucleotide unclassified non-coding RNA is filed under the name Glomus sp. Its description in RNAcentral is "partial internal transcribed spacer 2". The stretch from base 1 to 65 matches the Rfam family "5.8S ribosomal RNA", at positions 84 to 154 of the family's 154-position model. The record is from RNAcentral. Lineage: Eukaryota; Fungi; Glomeromycota; Glomeromycetes; Glomerales; Glomeraceae.